This 497-nucleotide ribosomal RNA is filed under the name uncultured bacterium. RNAcentral's name for it is "partial 16S ribosomal RNA". It matches the Rfam family "Bacterial small subunit ribosomal RNA", at positions 28 to 507 of the family's 1533-position model. The record is from RNAcentral.
GAUGAACGCUGGCGGCGUGCCUAAUACAUGCAAGUCGAGCGAACAGACGAUGAGCUUUCUCCUCUGCCGUUGGCGGCUGACGGGUGGGUAACACGUGGAUAACCUACUUCUUUUACUGGGGUGACAUCGUGAAGCCGGAGCUAAUACUACCUCAUAUAUUCUACGGCUUGGUUCAAUAGUGAAUGGCGGCUUUCCCGUCUCAAUUAGAUGGUUCCGCGUCGCAUUAGCUAGUUGGUAAGGUAAAGGCUUACCAAGGCGACGAUGCGUAGCCGACCUGAGAGGGUGAUCGGCCACACUGGAACUGAGACACGGUCCAGACUCCUACGGGAGGCAGCAGUGGGGAAUAUUCGACAAUGGGCGAAAGCCUGACCCAGCAAUGCCGCGUGAGUGAAGAAGGCCUUCGGGUCGUAAAGCCCUUUUAUUAGGGAAGAAAAACUGUGGAAGUAACUAUGCCUGUUUUGACGGUACCUAAUGAGAAAGCAACGGCUAACUACGUG